Molecule: long non-coding RNA, 769 nt
Organism: Cryptomeria japonica (Japanese cedar)
Lineage: Eukaryota; Viridiplantae; Streptophyta; Pinopsida; Cupressales; Cupressaceae
Exons: 2
Source: RefSeq, a predicted model, not a curated record
GUGCUGCCGCUUUCUGAUGAACUUGGUUGAAAUCUUUGUCAUGAAGAAAGCGUUGAAGGUUGUGAGUUUCUACUGUGUUGUUCCCCUGUUUAUGCUCUUCAUUAUGAUACUAGUUUUGCCAAGGCUGAAGAUGUUCUAUGUUGAAUCACUGCUCAUAUUCCUCAUGGGUAACUUGUCUUCCCUCCAGGCACAGGAUUUUUCAGUUGGAAAUUGGUUAAUGAAUUUAUCAUUGAAGCACUGUCAAUAUUGUGUGCUUAUUUUCUAAGAAAGCUUGUUCUUGAGCUCUUGGUUCUUCCAAUACACUUAUUCAAAUUGGGAUAACUGUUUUUCAGUUUCUUACGGUUGUAUUUUUUCUCGUGGCUGUUUAACCACUCGAGAGUUGCUUGGGAUUAUGAUAUUUUUUCACGGCAUACAGGUUAAAACAGUUAUGAAUCUGUUUGAGAUAUGCAUAACUGCAUGUAUAUACCCUUGUGAAAAACAAGUAUAUAUAGAUGCAGUGUGUGCAUAGUAAAAGGCGUGAGAGAUUGUAAAAGAAAACAUUAUCAGUUGUAUUGAGAUCUCAGAGGAUAUAUGGAAACAUUGAAUAUCAGUUCUAUUGUGUUGUAAUAAAGGUUCAUAAAAUAUAGUUGCAAAUCAGGUUGCGAAUAUAUAUUGUGAAUCCACUAGAAAAUCAUUGGAAAGAAUAGGGGUUGUAGCUCCUUGCAGUUGUAGCUGCAGAACAUUGUAAGAGUCGAAGCUCUUUGUGAAUCAAUAAGAGGUACUUUUUGGA